This 278-nucleotide ribosomal RNA is filed under the name uncultured Rickettsia sp. RNAcentral's name for it is "partial 16S ribosomal RNA". It matches the Rfam family "Bacterial small subunit ribosomal RNA", at positions 29 to 334 of the family's 1533-position model. Lineage: Bacteria; Pseudomonadati; Pseudomonadota; Alphaproteobacteria; Rickettsiales; Rickettsiaceae. The record is from RNAcentral.
AAUGAACGCUGGCGGCAUGCUUAACACAUGCAAGUUGAACGAACUAUUUAUAGUGAGUGGCAAACGGGUGAGUAAUAUGUGGGAAUCUGCCCAUCAGUACGGAAUAACAUUUGGAAACAAAUGCUAAUACCGUAUAUUCUCUACGGAGGAAAGAUUUAUCGCUGAUGGAUGAGCCCGCACCAGAUUAGGUAGUUGUUAGGGUAAUGGCCUAACAAGCUGACGAUCUGUAGCUGGUCUGAGAGGAUGAUCAGCCACACUGGGACUGAGACACGGCCCAG